AGUGAACGCUGGCGGCAUGCCUUACACAUGCAAGUCGAACGGCAGCACGGGUGCUUGCACCUGGUGGCGAGUGGCGAACGGGUGAGUAAUACAUCGGCACGUACCUUAUCGUGGGGGAUAACGCAGCGAAAGCUGUGCUAAUACCGCAUACGCCCUGAGGGGGAAAGCGGGGGAUCGCAAGACCUCGCGCGAUUAGAGCGGCCGAUGCCUGAUUAGCUUGUUGGUGGGGUAAAAGCCCACCAAGGCGACGAUCAGUAGCUGGUCUGAGAGGACGAUCAGCCACACUGGGACUGAGACACGGCCCAGACUCCUACGGGAGGCAGCAGUGGGGAAUUUUGGACGAUGGGGGCAACCCUGAUCCAGCAAUGCCGCGUGAGUGAAGAAGGCCUUCGGGUUGUAAAGCUCUUUUGUCAGGGAAGAAACACCGGCUCUAACACAGUCCGGGAAUGACGGUACCUGAAGAAUAAGCACCGGCUAACUACGUGCCAGCCGCCGCAGUAA
This 501-nucleotide ribosomal RNA is filed under the name uncultured bacterium. RNAcentral's name for it is "partial 16S ribosomal RNA". It matches the Rfam family "Bacterial small subunit ribosomal RNA", at positions 29 to 523 of the family's 1533-position model. The record is from RNAcentral.